CCUGUGGUUCCCGAAAGUUCGAAUGGGGAGAUUCAAUUGCCUCGCCGGUUAUGACCAUUUAACAGUGAUAUUUGUAUGGAUAUAUUGAGACAUUAUAUACGGUAUUGCAGUUUAUUCUGUAUUAUCUGUUUUAUAGUGCUCCACUGUUUUAUGAUAUAUGGAAAAAGUUUAUAGCCGGAGGCGUGCACUUCUCCCCUUGUAGGACGUCGUGACCCAUUGGAUUAUCGUUGUCUAAGGCUCAUAAUGGAGACCGUGGCAUUUAUAGUUUUAUUACUAUUAUGACCCGGACUUAUGAUGUCCCGACAUCUAUCCGAUGGUAUAAUUAUGAUGAUGGGUCGCUAUUUCAAAAUGGUGAGCGUUCUGAUCCAUAACAAAUGCUUAUAUGGUAUAUUAAGUGGAAAUCGGAUUAUAUGCCGAUUCUACACGUAUGGCAUUGUUAGUUGUGGUAUUCUUGAACCGUUCCUUAACAUCAGUCAACGGCGUUUAUGUUUUGGGUAAUUACAGGACCCGUCUUGAAACACGGACCAAGGAGUCUAGCAUGUGCGCAAGUCAUUGGGACUUAAUGAAACCUAAAGGCGUAAUGAAAGUGAAGUAUUUAUGUGUGUGUGUAUAUAUUGUAUUACUUGUAAUUCAUAUAUAUAUACCAUAUGAGUUUAAGGGAAGAUGGGUAACGAUAUUUAUGUUACCUCGCAUUCCCGGGGCGUCGCGUACUUAUUGCAAGUUGCGGCGCACCAAGAGCGUACACGCUGGGACCCGAAAGAUGGUGAACUAUGCCUGGUCAGGAUGAAGUCAGGGGAAACCCUGAUGGAGGUCCGUAGCGAUUCUGACGUGCAAAUCGAUCGUAUG
This 846-nucleotide ribosomal RNA is filed under the name Laemostenus terricola. RNAcentral describes it as "eukaryotic LSU rRNA". It matches the Rfam family "Eukaryotic large subunit ribosomal RNA", at positions 420 to 908 of the family's 3401-position model. Lineage: Eukaryota; Metazoa; Arthropoda; Insecta; Coleoptera; Carabidae. The record is from RNAcentral.